GUGCAGCAGCUGCGGUAAUACGGAGGGUGCAAGCGUUAAUCGGAAUUACUGGGCGUAAAGCGCACGCAGGCGGUUGAUUAAGUCAGAUGUGAAAUCCCCGGGCUCAACCCGGGAACUGCAUCUGAUACUGGUCAGCUUGAGUCUCGUAGAGGGAGGUAGAAUUCCAGGUGUAGCGGUGAAAUGCGUAGAGAUCUGGAGGAAUACCGGUGGCGAAGGCGGCCUCCUGGACGAAGACUGACGCUCAGGUGCGAAAGCGUGGGGAGCAAACAGGAUUAGAUACCCUGGUAGUCCACGCUGUAAACGAUGUCGAUUUGGAGUUGUGCCCAUGAGGCGUGGCUUCCGGAGCUAACGCGUUAAAUCGACCGCCUGGGGAGUACGGCCGCAAGGUUAAACUCAAAUGAAUUGACGGGGCCCGCACAAGCGGUGGAGCAUGUGGUUUAAUUCGAUGCAACGCGAAGAACCUUACCUGGUCUUGACAU
Molecule: ribosomal RNA, 479 nt
Filed under: uncultured Escherichia sp.
Lineage: Bacteria; Pseudomonadati; Pseudomonadota; Gammaproteobacteria; Enterobacterales; Enterobacteriaceae
Description: bacterial SSU rRNA
Rfam family: Bacterial small subunit ribosomal RNA
Source: RNAcentral